GUAGGUCGGAACACGUGAUAUUUUGACUGAAGCCGGGGGGACCACCCUCCAAUCCUAAAUACUACUUACAGAUCGAUAGUGAACAAGUACCGUGAGGGAAAGGUGAAAAGUACUCCAGCGAGGAGAGUGAAAUAGAACCUGAAACCAUUAGCUUACAAUCAUUCAGAGCCCUAUGAUUUAUCAGGGUGAUGGACUGCCUUUUGCAUAAUGAGCCUGCGAGUUGUGGUAUCUGGCAAGGUUAAGUCAAGUACGAAGCCGUAGCGAAAGCGAGUCUUAAUAGGGCGAAUUAGUCAGAUGCUGCAGACCCGAAACGAAGUGAUCUAUCCAUGAGCAGGUUGAAGCUGGUGUAAGAGCCAGUGGAGGACCGAACCCGCAGGCGUUGAAAAGUCUUGGGAUGACUUGUGGAUAGGGGUGAAAGGCCAAUCAAACUUCGUGAUAGCUGGUUCUCUCCGAAAUAUAUUUAGGUAUAGCCUUGUGUUGUAGCAUAUGGGGGUAGAGCACUGAAUGGGCUAGGGCUGCUUACCGCGGUACCAAACCCUAUCAAACUAUGAAUACUAUAUGUGGAAUCACAGGAGUCAGGCGGUGGGUGAUAAAAUCAAUCGUCGAGAGGGGAACAACCCAGACUAACAGCUAAGGUCCCUAAGUUACAUCUAAGUGGAAAACGAUGUGGAGUUACUGUGACAACCAGGAGGUUGGCUUAGAAGCAGCCAUCCUUUAAAGAAAGCGUAACAGCUCACUGGUCUAGUGAUUCUGCGCGGAAAAUAUAACGGGGCUAAGAUGUACACCGAAGCUUUAGAUUCAAUUUUUAAUUGAG
RNAcentral lists this ribosomal RNA (814 nucleotides) under Aliarcobacter butzleri. Its description in RNAcentral is "partial 23S ribosomal RNA". It matches the Rfam family "Bacterial large subunit ribosomal RNA", at positions 412 to 1225 of the family's 2925-position model. The record is from RNAcentral. Lineage: Bacteria; Pseudomonadati; Campylobacterota; Epsilonproteobacteria; Campylobacterales; Arcobacteraceae.